UACAGAGGUCUCAAGCGUUGUUCGGAUUCAUUGGGCGUAAAGGGUGCGUAGGUGGCGCGGUAAGUCGGGUGUGAAAUCUCGGAGCUUAACUCCGAAAUUGCAUUCGAUACUGCCGUGCUCGAGGACUGGAGAGGAGACUGGAAUUCAUGGUGUAGCAGUGAAAUGCGUAGAGAUCAUGAGGAAGACCAGUGGCGAAGGCGGGUCUCUGGACAGUACCUGACACUGAGGCACGAAGGCCAGGGGAGCAAACGGG
This 253-nucleotide ribosomal RNA is filed under the name uncultured bacterium. RNAcentral's name for it is "partial 16S ribosomal RNA". It matches the Rfam family "Bacterial small subunit ribosomal RNA", at positions 524 to 776 of the family's 1533-position model. The record is from RNAcentral.